GACAGGUGCUGCAUGGCUGUCGUCAGCUCGUGUCGUGAGAUGUAGGUUAAGUCCCGCAACGAGCGCAACCCUUGUCUUUAAUUGCCAUCAUUGAGUUGGGCACUUAAGAGACUGCCGGUGUUAAACCGGAGGAAGGUGGGGAUGACGUCAAGUCCUCAUGGCCUUUAUGCCCAGGGCUACACACGUGCUACAAUGGGUGGUACAAAGAGCAGCCAGCUCGCGAGAGUGAGCAAAUCUCAAAAAGCCAUCCUCAGUUCGGAUUGAAGUCUGCAACUCGCCUGCAUGAAGUUGGAGUUGCUAGUAAACGCAGGUCAGCCAUACUGCGUUGAAUACGUUCCCGGGGCUU
Molecule: ribosomal RNA, 346 nt
Filed under: uncultured Smithella sp.
Lineage: Bacteria; Pseudomonadati; Thermodesulfobacteriota; Syntrophia; Syntrophales; Smithellaceae
Description: bacterial SSU rRNA
Rfam family: Bacterial small subunit ribosomal RNA
Source: RNAcentral